Molecule: ribosomal RNA, 253 nt
Filed under: uncultured Eubacteriales bacterium
Lineage: Bacteria; Bacillati; Bacillota; Clostridia; Eubacteriales
Description: uncultured Clostridiales bacterium partial 16S ribosomal RNA
Rfam family: Bacterial small subunit ribosomal RNA
Source: RNAcentral
UACGUAGGGGGCGAGCGUUAUCCGGAAUUACUGGGUGUAAAGGGAGCGUAGACGGCGAGGUAAGCCUGAAGUGGAAGCCCGCGGCCCAACCGCGGAACUGCUUUGGGAACUGUUUUGCUGGAGUAUGGGAGGGGUAAGCGGAAUUCCUAGUGUAGCGGUGAAAUGCGUAGAUAUUAGGAGGAACACCAGUGGCGGAGGCGGCUUACUGGACGGUAACUGACGCUGAGGCUCGAAAGCGUGGGGAGCAAACAGG